CCGAGUCGUCUCGGGCCUCUGGCCCAGGCACUCCCCAUACUCUGCUAGAGACCCCCGUUUAAGGUCCUGCUUCGGCCGGCGGCCACCAGCCUAUGGCCGGAGGGACCCUCCGUGCUCCUGCCGCUCUGGCGGCGGGGGCCGGCUCUAAAUCUAAUACCGUAUGAAAAAGCGUUUGCGGCAGAAGGCCGAACCAAACA
RNAcentral lists this unclassified non-coding RNA (197 nucleotides) under uncultured Ascomycota. RNAcentral describes it as "sequence contains ITS1". Lineage: Eukaryota; Fungi; Ascomycota. The record is from RNAcentral.